AAACUUAAAGGAAUUGACGGGGGCCCGCACAAGCGGUGGAGCAUGUGGUUUAAUUCGAUGCAACGCGAAGAACCUUACCUACUCUUGACAUCCAGAGAACUUAGCAGAGAUGCUUUGGUGCCUUCGGGAACUCUGAGACAGGUGCUGCAUGGCUGUCGUCAGCUCGUGUUGUGAAAUGUUGGGUUAAGUCCCGCAACGAGCGCAACCCUUAUCCUUUGUUGCCAGCGGUUCGGCCGGGAACUCAAAGGAGACUGCCAGUGAUAAACUGGAGGAAGGUGGGGAUGACGUCAAGUCAUCAUGGCCCUUACGAGUAGGGCUACACACGUGCUACAAUGGCAUAUACAAAGAGAAGCGACCUCGCGAGAGCAAGCGGACCUCAUAAAGUAUGUCGUAGUCCGGAUUGGAGUCUGCAACUCGACUCCAUGAAGUCGGAAUCGCUAGUAAUCGUGGAUCAGAAUGCCACGGUGAAUACGUUCCCGGGCCUUGUACACACCGCCCGUCACACCAUGGGAGUGGGUUGCAAAAGAAGUAGGUAGCUUAACCUUCGGGAGGGCGCUUACCACUUUGUGAUUCAUGACUGGGGUGAAGUCGUAACAAGGUAACCGUAGGGGAACCUGCGGUUGGAUCACCUCCUUU
Molecule: ribosomal RNA, 636 nt
Filed under: uncultured Massilia sp.
Lineage: Bacteria; Pseudomonadati; Pseudomonadota; Betaproteobacteria; Burkholderiales; Oxalobacteraceae
Description: bacterial SSU rRNA
Rfam family: Bacterial small subunit ribosomal RNA
Source: RNAcentral